This 253-nucleotide ribosomal RNA is filed under the name uncultured bacterium. RNAcentral describes it as "partial 16S ribosomal RNA". It matches the Rfam family "Bacterial small subunit ribosomal RNA", at positions 524 to 776 of the family's 1533-position model. RNAcentral also lists the same sequence under 1 other name. The record is from RNAcentral.
GACGAACCGAGCGAACGUUGUUCGGAAUCACUGGGCUUAAAGGGCGCGUAGGCGGGCAUCAUAGUCUGUGGUGAAAUCCGGCAGCUUAACUGUCGAAUUGCCAUGGAUACUGGGUGUCUCGAGGGAGGCAGGGGUGCGCGGAACUAAUGGUGGAGCGGUGAAAUGCGUUGAUAUCAUUAGGAACUCCGGUGGCGAAGGCGGCGCACUGGUCCUUUUCUGACGCUGAGGCGCGAAAGCCAGGGGAGCAAACGGG